UUAAUUGUAAUGGGAUUUUAAUUUAAGCAAUUGGGCCGUUUUUUUAAAAUCAAAACUAAAACCAUAAUUUUCCUAUCCAAACUCACAUAACCCAAGCUCAUUCCCUAACCCAUAAUUCGUAGGCUCAUACCUCUAACCUAAUUCAUACCCUAUAUAAUACUAUGUGUACAAGGCUAUACACCCUAAGACUCUAAUAGAUAGAUCCGCCAUUUCAACAAAAAAUCAGAAGCUAGAAAAACAAAAGAAAAUCAGCGCCAUGUUUUUGUCAAGAAACCCAAUCCCGGAAGAAACAACGAUUUGUUGACCUCAAUAAAAUCAAAGAUCCUCAAAUUACGCCCCAUCACCAAAAUUCGGAGCUGAUCGUUAUUACUAUUCCUCAUCUCCCUAGUAAGUCCAUCAAUCAGUAAGAGCCCAAAACGUUGGAGACCUUGUAGCUGUACUUGGUAGGACAUUUGAAUUAAUUGUCAUUUGCAAAAGAAAGCUUCCUGGACAAAAUUGAAAACGAUACCGUGUGAACGAGAGGAUGAGUUUGGACAUAGAAUGAGUGUGGCGGAGGAGAGCAAAGUCCUAUUUGGCGAGAUUCCUAAUCGAGAUUUCGGUAGCGUCUCGGUCAAAUGGUUGUCGCUUUGUUUGGUGAUUAAGCUGUAAAUUUUCAGACCUGUUCAUCACUAUAAAGGUCCGAUUCUUCCUUGCUCUGUUUGUGGUAAACCUGCUGAAAAUUUCUUCCUUUGUUUCUUCACUGCCCCUUUUUCCCUUUGUGAUUUCCGUGCCAUAAUUAUCUUCUAGCUAAGAUUCAUGUGAUAUUUUUUGGAGUCAUGUUUAUUUGUAAAGAAUAAUUAUGGCCUAUACUUAUGGUACUUAGGUAUUUCUUUUCAUUAGAUAGGUGUGAUUGUUCUUAUUUGUGUUUGUUGAAUUAUCUUUUGAGUGUUAUAUGUUUACUACAUUUCUUACUUCCGAUUUGAUUCAUGAAAUAUAUAGUAAGGCGUAAAAAUGAGCAGAAACUAUGGAUGUAUGCUUGACCUCUGUACAAUAAAUAUGAGUGGUGUAUGUUUACUAUGGAAUUUUGGCCAAUAUCGAAUUGAAGAGACUUGGGCAUUUGAGCCAAUAUUGAAUUAAAGGGACUUUGGAAAUGUGAUCAAAAUCAGUAACGUGGCCAUACUCUUUUGUCACCCCAUUCACUCCUUUGUCUUGUAGUAUUAUAUCUUUUCAGAAUUUUACUUUUCUUGCAUUAUUAAUAUAUUUUUAAUUUUUGAUUAAUUGAACUGUUGGUGGGGAAAUGAAACAUCGUGACUUACUUUGGCGCAAUUAAUAAAAUUAUUACAAUUAUGGGUACGGUUUCCGUGACGUAGUUACAAUGGGUAAUUAAUUUUAACCCUUUGUAAUUUGAGGUAUGCCAUUUAGCGAAUUCUCAUGGCCCUCGCAAAGUUAACAACACGCUAGUUGCUUUAGGCGCGUUACUUAAUAAUAUUAUCUUCCUAAACUCGAGUGUCCAUUUUAUGUGACCUAAAUCCAAAUCCCAAAAUAAUGAAUAAAAUGUGCCGAGGAUCCGGGUGCAUUUCAUGUGACGUGAUCCAAAAACAUAUUUUAGAAGACGUUCAAUUUCCUAAAAAAUAUUGAUUAAAAGCUGUAAAUAAUUUUAAAAUUGCACUAUAGGAUGGCAUAUAUAAAAAUAAGAUUUUUAGCCAAUUAUAAGAGUUUAAACGAUCGUGCUAGAACCAUGGGAUCCGGGGUGCCUAACACCUUUCCUCGGGUCAACAGAAUUCCUUACUCAAGAGUUUUUGGUUCGCAGACUCCAUUCAGGAAGUCGAAAAUUUUCUCGAUUUGGGAUUCAAAAUAAAUCGGUGACUUGGGACACCAAAAGCCAAACUUAUCCCAAGUGGCGACUUUGAAUAAAUAAAUAAUCUCAUUUUGAAUAAUGUCACUUAAAUUGAAAAAACUCCCUUAUAUAUUUACCUUUCGGGAUAGGUGUUUAAAAAUGAGGUAUGACAGAUAUCACCAGGUGUUAAUAGAUGAAGAGGAUGCAGAGAAAACCGCCUUUACCACACAUUGGGGAACCUACUGCUACAUGCCCUUCGGACUGAAGAAUAAUGGGGCAACAUAUAUGACAACCAUGACUACUAUCUUCCAUGAUAUGAUGCAUCGGGAAAUAGAGGUGUAUGUGGAUGACGUGAUCAUCAAGUCCAGAACACAGGAUGAUCAUGUAUGUGAUCUAAGGAAGUUCUUCGAACGGCAGCGCCGAUAUAAUUUGAAAUUAAACCCAGCCAAAUGUGUGUUCGGGGUCCCGUCGCGCAAACUUCUGGGAUUCAUAGUCAGCCGGAGAGGUAUUGCGUUAGAUCCAAAUACGGUAAAGUCUAUUCGAGAUUUACCUACUCCGAAGACCAAAAAGGACGUAAUGAUCUUGUUGGGAAGAUUGAAUUAUAUUAGUCGAUUCAUCGCUCAGCUGACUUCCACAUGUGAGCCCAUAUUCAAAUUGCUAAAGAAAUAUGCAGCGAUCAAAUGGACGUAUGACUUUCAAAAGGCUUUCGAUAAGAUUAAAGACUACUUGUCCAACCCACCAAUUUUGGUUCAACCUGAGCCAGGGAGGCCAUUGUUCAAAUUGCUAACGAAAGAUGCAGCGGUCAAAUGGACAAAUGACUGUCAAAAGGCUUUCGAUAAGAUUAAAGACUACUUGUCUAACCCACCAGUUUUGGUUCCACCUGAGCUAGGGAGGUCAUUAUUUCUGUACCAGACCAUCCUGGAAAGUUCCUUCGGUCGCAUUCUAGAGCAACACGACAUCACUGAAAAGAAAGAAGAGGCCAUAUACUACCUGAGUAAGAAAUUCACCGGCUAUGAGGCCAAGUACACUUUGCUGGAAAGAACUUGCUGAGUUCUAACUUAGGUUGCUCAAAAAUUGAGGCAUUACCAACAGGCUUGCACCACCUACCUCACAGCCAGGAUGGUUCCUCUGAAGUACAUAUUUCAAAAGCCAAUGCCCAUAGAGAGGUUAGCAAAAUGGCAGAUCUUACUCACCGAGUUUGAUAUCUAUGUCACUCGUACAGCAAUGAAGGCCCAAGCUUUAGUGGAACAUUUAGCCGAAAACCCAGUUGAUGAUGAGUACUAACCCCUGAACACUUAUUUCCCAGAUGAAGAGGUGAACUCGAUGGAAGCAAUAUCUGAAGACAUUGCUGCCUGAAAUUGUUCUUUGAUGGAGCAGUCAACUCAAGAGGUGUCGGAAUUGGGGCAGUUUUAAUUUCACCCAUUGGUCAGCACUAUCCAGCCACCGCUCGACUUCAGUUCUUCUACACGAACAAUACAGCUGAGUACGAAGCUUGCAUCAUGGGUAUGAAUAUAGCAGUUGAUCGAAAUGUCGAAGAGUUGCUAAUUAUGGGGGAUUCGGAUUUAAUCAUCCGGCAAGCCCAAAAAAAUGGGAAACUCGAGAAGUUAAACUUAUCCCUUACUGGCAGCAUGUGGAAGAUCUUAGCAGGCGGUUCAAGAUGAUAGAGUUCAGGUACAUCCCUCGAUGUCACAAUGAGCUAGCUGACGCACUUGCCAAUUUGGCCUCAAUGUUGCCCUAUCUAGGAAAUGCCCUUAUCGAUCCCUUAGAAAUCCAAAUCAGGGAAAGGAAUGGGUACUAUAAUGCAGAUAAUGCCAUAACCAAACAUUCAGCCAUGGUACCAUGAUAUCAAGAUGUUUCUAAAAAUCAAGAAUACCCCAAGCAAGCGACUGGAGACCAAAAGAGAACUAUCAGAUGGCAAGCAAGUAGUUCUUCUUAAGCAGUGAGGUUUUGUACAAAAGGACCCCAGACCUCGAUUUGUUAAGAUGCGUUGACGCCGAAGAGGUAGGAUGAAUCAUGUAUGAAGUACAUCCAAGAGUUUGUGGACCACACAUGAAUGGGUAUGUUCUAGCAAAGAAAAUCAUCCGAGCGGGCUAUUAUUGGAUAACCAUGGAAAGGGAUUGUUUUACCUUGGUCUGGAAAUGCCAUUAGUGUCAGGUGCACGGUGAUUUGAUUCAUGCACCUCCUACAGAACUGCAUCCCAUGUCAGCACCUUGGCCAUUCGCAGCUUGGGGAAUGGACGUUAUUGGGCCGAUCGAGCCGAAAGCCUCAAAUGGGCACAGAUUCAUAUUGGUUGCCAUUGAUUACUUCACAAAAUGGGUUGAAGCCAUCACUCUUAAAUCGGUUACCAAGAAAGCGGUGGUGGAUUUCGUGAAUUCCAAUCUCAUUUGACGUUUUGGCAUCCCAGCAACUAUCAUCAUGGACAACACUGCAAAUUUGAACAGCCGGUUGAUGGGAGAGAUAUGCGAACAAUUCAAAAAAAAACUCAUCGAAACUCUACACCCUACCAGCCCAAAGCCAAUGGUGUCAUCGAAGCAGCAAACAAAAAUAUCAAGAAGAUUUUGAGAAAGAUGAUUCAAAGCUCCGGGCAAUGGCAUGAGAAACUACCUUUUGCAUUAUUGGGGUAUCGCACAACCGUGUGCACGUCAAUUGGAGAAACUCCCUAUCUUUUGUUAUAUGGAAUUGAUGCAGUAAUACCUGCAGAGGUGGAAAUCCCAUCUCUCCCGAUCAUCGUCGAAGCUGAGAUUGAAGACACUGAAUGGGUCAGGUUUCGUCUAGAAUAGUUGGCUUUAAUUGAUGAAAAACGAAUGGCUACGGUCUACCACAGACAGUUGUACCAACAAAGAAUGGCCAGAGCUUAUAACAAGAAAGUACGCCCCAUGAAUUUGAGGUGGGACAGCUUGUAUUAAGGUGCAUUCUUCCUCACCAUCCAGAAGCAAAAGGAAAAUUUUCUCCUAAUUGGAAAGGCUCGUACAUUAUCAGAAAGAUAUUGCCAAAAGGAGCAUUGUAUACCGAAGGAGAUGAUCUUGAAGCAGUAGUGAAUGUAGAUGCAGUAAAAAGGUACUAUGUCUAGGCUCCAUGUAGCAAUGAUUCAGUCCAGUUGUGGCAAGCUUUCAUUCCUGCCACUCAAACACUAUCAACCCCUUAGUAAACCCAUUUGAGCCGGUUACUCUUCUUUGACCACCCUCUUUGGAACUUGGAAAUGUUAUUCAUAAAAAAGAGAAAAAAAAGAAAAAAAAAAUGAGAAACAAAAAUAGUUUAGGAAACACUCAUGAACUACGUCUGACUUGAUUCCAAAAGGAUACGUAGGCAGCCUCUUUCUAGUGUUCAGUCACACCAAAUUAAAAUUGCCAAUUCCCCCCAAAAAUAAAACUGGGACAGAUGACAUAAUGGCUCGGCCAUGAGCCCACCAAAAUAGUUCCAAAGUUGUAAUUCAGUCCAUGCUUUUUACCCAAAACAACCUUGUCCAAGUCCUUCCGAUCAAUUGGUAAAGGCAUGGGAGUUGAAAAAUAUCAUUGUUGGAAUCUGAUGCAAUCCAAAUUUAAAGAAAUUAAAUGAGGGAGUCUUAUCCGUGAAAACCUAUAGGCACCAUAAGGCGAUGAUGAGUAGAGAAAUUGAAAAUAUGAAAGUCCGUUCGGUGAAAACUCAUAACGAUCACCAAUGGGCAACGGUGAGAAGAGAAAUGAGAAAGGUCGAUUGGCAAAACCCCGCAAAGGGCGCUGUCAGCCGAAAAGAAGGCACCUCCCAUCAUUGAAGGAGUCCUAGCAAGGUUUCUUGGAUUGAAACACGGGUCAAUGAACAUACGAGAAAUUGAGGAAGCUUGUGCGGGUCGGGCAUCUAUUCCAAGAAACAUGUCAUGUCCAUUUGAAACUUGCAUGCAUUCCCCAGAUAAGUCCUUCUUUUUCCCCGGAAGGGACACUUUUAUUUAAAUUCAUCCUCUUGGUCUCUAUUUACUUUUCCUUGAAUCUCUUUCGGUCUAACUCUGAUUCCGAAACUAUUACAAAGAAAAGGUAGCAGAACUGGUUUACAGGGCCCUGCUCAGCAAGAGCUAAAGAAAAGGUACCCAGCCUUAGCGGGUGUAUUAAGCCAAUCCUGAAUGGCCAUGAUGUUGAUGCUUUCAAAGCAAAGAUAUGGAAAAGGAAAGAAUGUCCAAAGACAAAGGUCCUAUGAGCAGAAUAAAGUGAAAAGCCAGAGCCCUAUGCGGGCGAGUUGUCAUGAAAUCCUGAAGGUUGAGGCCAUUGGCUCGAAAGAGAAGAUGAUCUUCAAAACCAGAAAGCAACAAAGGCUCUCAAUAAAAGUUACGCCGGGAUCAAAAAUUCAAGGCCACAGAACCAACCACCGUUUCAAUCUAACAGUCGAAAGAGAAGAUAAUUUUCAAAACCAGCAAACAGCAGAGACUCUAAAUAGAAGCUGGGCCAUGAUUAAUCAAUCAAGGCCGCAGAACCAACCACCAUUUCAAACUAACAAUUGUUCUUUGUUGAAAAUCAAAAUAGGUGCGAUACGAGCAACCGCGCAAAAGCAGGUACAGUCAAAAGGAAAAUGCGCAAGUGCUAAGAUAGCUUCGCAGCAAAAUGAUCAAUGAAAAAAGGAAGUUUCCUCCAAGUUCUUUCCUGCAUCUUAUCAAAAUAAAAAGGGAGAAAGAACAUAAUGAAAAAGGAAAACCCAAAAGAGGAUAAUUUAGAAUCCUCAAUACCAACCUUUAGCCAACAUUAAGGCUCAACUCCCUGAGUUGAGUGUUUUUCCUUUUAGCCAACAUUAGGGAUCCAAUCCCUAAGUUGAGCGUUUUCCCUUUUAGCCAACAUUAGGGCUCUAAUCCCUGAGUUAAGCAUUUUUUCUUUAGCCAACAUUAGGGCUCCAAUCCCCGAGUUGAGCGGUUUCCCUUUUAGCCAACAUUAGGGCUCUAAUCCCUGAGUUGAGCAUUUUUCCUUAUCCAACAUUAGGGCUCUAAUCCCUGAAUUGAGCGUCUUCUUUAGCCAACAUUAGGGCUCCAAUCCCUGAGUUGAGCGAUUUCCCCUUUAGCCAACAUUAGGGCUCCAAUCCCUGAGUUGAGCAUUUUUUCUAGCCAACAUUAGGGCUCCAAUAUCUGAGUUGAGCAUAUUUCCUAGCCAAUAUUUGGGGCUCCAAUCCCUGAGUUGAGCAUUUUUCCUUAACCAACAUUAGGGCUCCAAUGCUUGAGUUGAGCAUUUUUUUUAGCCAACAUUAGGCUCUAAUCCCUAAGUUGAGCAUUUUUCCUUAGCCAACAUUAGGGCUCCAAUCCCUGAGUUGAGCGUUUUUUCUUAGCCAAUAUUAGGGCUCAAAUCCCUAGGUUGAACGUUUUUCCUUAGCCAACAUUAGGGCUCCAAUCCCUGAGUUGAGNNNNNNNNNNNNNNNNNNNNNNNNNNNNNNNNNNNNNNNNNNNNNNNNNNNNNNNNNNNNNNNGCUCCAAUCCCUGAGUUGAGCGUUUUUCCUUAGCCAACAUUAGGGCUCAAAUCCCUGAGUUGAGCGUUUUUCCUUAGCCAAAAUUAGGCUCCAAUCCCUGAGUUGAGCAUUUUUCCUUAUCCAACAGUUGGGCUCCAAUCCCUGAGUUGAGAAUUUCCUCCUUAGCCAACAUUAGGGCUUCAAUCCCUGAUUUGAGCAUUUUUCCCGUUAGCCAACAUUAGGACUUCAAUCCCUGAGUUGAGAGUUUUUUCUUAGCCAACAUUAGGGCUUCAAUCCCUAAAUUGAGCGAUUUUUCCUUCGCAAACAUUAGGGAUCGAAUCCCUGAGUUAAGCGUUUUUCCUUAGCCAACAUUGGGGCUCGAAUCCCUCAGUUAAGCAUUUUUCCUUAGCCAACAUUAGGGCUCCAAUCCCUGAGUUGAGCAUUUUUCUUUAGCCAACAUUAGGGCUCNNNNNNNNNNNNNNNNNNNNNNNNNNNNNNNNNNNNNNNNNNNNNNNNNNNNNNNNNNNNNNNAGCAUUUUUCUUUAGCCAACAUUAGGGCUCCAAUCCCUGAGUUGAGUGUUUUUCCUUAGCCAACAUUAGGGCUCCAAUCACUGAGUUGAGCAUUUUCCUUAGCCAAUAUUAAGGCUUCAAUCCCUGAGUUAAGCAUUUUUCCUUAUCCAACAUUAGGGCUCCAAUCCCUGAGUUGAGCGUUUUUCUUUAGCCAACAUUAGGGCUCCAAUCUCUGAGUUGAGCAUUUUUCCUCAGCCAACAUUAGGACUCCAAACCCUUAGUUGAGCGUUUUUCCUUUGCCAACAUUAGGGCUCCAAUCCCGGAGUUGAGCAUUUUUCCUUAGAGGGCUCCAAUCCCUGAGUUGAGCGUUUUUCCUUAGCCAACUUUAGGGCUCCAAUCCCUGAGUUGAGCGUUUUUUCUUAGCCAACAUUAGGGCUCCAAUCCCGGAGUUGAGUGUUUUUGCUUAGCCAACAUUAGGGCUCCAAUCCCCGAGUUGAGCGUUUUCCCUUUAGCCAAUAUUAGAGCUCCAAUCUCUGAGUUGAAAAUUUUUCCGUUAGUCAAUAUUAGGGCUCCAAUUCCUAAGUUGACGUUUCACGACAGGAGUUUGCCCCGAUUUAUCCUAUCAUAGACAAAUACAGUUCUUGAGACGAAAAACAAAAAAAAGAAAAAGUUCAAAUUUUUGUCACAAAUAACUCACGAAACCUUCCUAGUGCAAAAUUGGGGCAGAAAGUUUCGUUCGUUCGCUUGUUUUUUAGCUGGUUUGACCUCGAAUCACAAGUUCCAAGGCAACUGAAAGGAUGAGUCUCAAUCUUGAAUAAAGGAAAAAAAAAGAACAAAAGAAAUUCAAAUGCGGAAGCGAGCAUGGAGAUGAGCUGAUCAAAACUUGAUUAAAAUCACAAGCUCCGUCGGUCCCUCUCUGCUCAAAUGUUGAACAAAGAACCGGCACCUACAACUUACAAGCAUCAAAACUCAGAUCGGAGUCCAUAGCAAAUCCAGCUAAGACUAAAGAUCAAGCUUCAAGAGAUUUAUAGAUAGGAAUUUUGUAACUCAUAAUAGAUAGGCAUACCUGGCUUAGCUUUUUGAUUUUUCUUUUGGUCUAAUAAGGAGAACAGCAAGCAGUAGCAGUAGUAGCAGCAUCAACAAUGAGAAUGCAGCUUCGGUAGUCCCAGCUACCAAACACUCCUGAAUUACACUGACCAAAUUCCUCAUUAGCCGGGGAUAUGUAGGCAACCUCUGAAGAAGAUGCGUUAAAGCUUUUAAAAAUUGCUUCUCAUGGAGUGUCAAGCAGGCAAAAAUCUCUCAUGAUUGCUCACUUAUCUUUGCCCGAAAACCUUCGUGUCUCCGAGAAAGAGGGGCAGCUGUGAGCAUGUGAUUUUUGCCUAGCUUAAAUUACUCCUAUAAAAUUCUUAAAUUUAGGGUUUUUCUUUAUGUUAUGUGAUUUUUAAAAUUUAAUUGCAUAAUUGUAUGUUUGUUUGCAUUUUGAGUAUAUUUUAAUUCAUAAAAAAAUAUAUAAAAAUACCACCACUUUGCAUUUUAGGAUACCAUUUUUAAUAUUUAAGGUUCAUUAAUUAAUUAAUAGCACAAAAACAAAAAAUAAUAAAAUUGGUUCAUUUAGCAUUUUUAUUUUGAAUUUUAGAAUAUGUCCUAAUUAGGAAUUAGUUAAGUUUGAAAUUUAGUUAGUUUAAUUUUUAAAAUAAAUUAGGUCUUUAUUAUUUUUAAUUUUUGUAUUUAACCAAAUUAGAAAAUAUAAAAUAAAUAAGAGAAAAAGAAAGAAAUUGAAAAAAUGUGGUCUUAAUUAUAGACCAAUUUUGGGCCAGCUUUAAUUAAAAAUGCCAGCUUAAAACACAGCCCAAACCUGACCCAAACUCAUAAGUCAACCCGGUCCAAACCCCCACCUCCCAAAACGACGUCGUUUCAUGUUUUUAUACGACCGUUGGAUCUCAUCAAUCCAACGGUACGGAACUAACAAGGUUUCGAGUAUAAAACUGUCAGAACCCCCCCCCCCACAACCAUCUUUCCCAAACCCUAAUACACGCCGGCGUAACACCACCACCCUCCGCCGUCCGUCGCCGGCCAGAAAUAGCCUCCGCCGAUAGUGAUGCUCCGAUGGCCCCCAGAAUUACACCACCCCACCUCCUCGAACUCCUCUUUCCAUCCCUGCUAUCAGUGCCCAUUGAAUGUCAACCGAACUCGUCGAAUAUUAGUUUGAAUCAACCACUGCUCCGCCGCCCAUGGCGGGGCCGCCUCCAAAUCACCUCAAAACAACACUCCACAACCCUCAUGCCUCCCUCAUGACUAAUAUGUCAUUAAUUUCCUUCAAAGCUAUCCAAAAUUUUUCAAAUCUUAGAUCUGAGUCCAAGCUUCAACCGUUCAAGCUAAUCGAUCCAAGCCUUUGUUCUUCGAGUUGAUUCACUACAAUUUGAUGUUGUUUGUUCGCUCUUAACAUAGAAUAAGCGAUUGGCAUCAAUUUCAUGUGAAUCAAAGCAUCAAGCAUAGUUUCGACUUUAAUUAGUGAGUGUUUUUAAAUUUCUUUUAAUUUUUAUCUGUGCAAUUUUUUAUUUACUUUUAUGCAUAGUUUUUUAUUUUGUUUUUCUUUCGUUCAUCUUCAGUAUUUCUUGAUUUAUGGUUUGAUUGGUUCAAAUUACAUUCUGGUCAUUUGAUUUGAUUUCAACUGUAGGAUUCCAUGUUUAGUUACUGCUUUGCAUUUUUAGUUUUGUUCUUUUAUUCUUCAUAGUGUAGUUUCAGCUCUAUUUUAUUGAUCUUAGCUGUUAGUUUACUGGGUUUUGUUAGUAUAAUAAUAAAUUUAGCCUUUGGACGUUGGUUUAGUUAGAAUUGAUUCUGAUUGAAGUUAUUUGUUUGUAGCUGAUCAUUUCAGAUCCUUGAUUAAUUAACUAUAGUUAAUCUUGGCUAAAGUAAAAAGGGGUAGGUUAGUUUCAACCUAGGUUGGUAAUUUUAGGUGGUUUCAGAGGUAAUAUAGGUAUUCUAUUUAGGGUGUAUUGCAGUAAUAGAAAAUAUAACUCUCUAGAAGCUUCUAUGUUGGGGUAUUAAGUUGAAUAUCAGAAACUUAGUAAUAUAGCUUGAGAAACAAGUCAGUCCCUUACGGACUUUUCAAGCAAAAACUGAAAUAAAAGAGGGACUGAACGUGUAAAAUAAAAUCUAAAAGAGGCCCUAGAAUUUGCCUAUAAAAGGCAGUCUAUCCUGCCUUACAAGAGAAGUUUGAGAGAUCCCUAAAUUUGGAAAUUCAAAAAAUUCAAACCAGUUCUUACGAGUCUAGAGAGCAAAACUCUGAAAAAGUAAAAUUCAAAAACAAUUUUCAGAUCCAAAACUAGUGAAAACCCUACUAAAAAUCCAAAAAUUCUUAUAUAAAGUAGAUAGCUUAGAUAUAAAAUAGAAACAAAAAAAUCAUCAAAAUAUGAUGUAGAAGUCCUUCUAGAUCUCUUUGGUUGAGCAAUUACUUUGGUUCAUCAAGUGUGGUUUUCAAAUUCAGCUGGUUAUUGCUUGUGUGAAGUUAUUUGGAAUUUACUGUAAUCUAUACUUCAUCCUUGGAAUUCUAAGUUGAUGUUUUGUUGUAAUUGACGUUUCCUCUGAGUUGAUGCUUAGCUGAUUAUUUUUCCUCACAUUUUGCUUCAUAUUCCAGAAACAAAUCCUGAAUCUUGGAUGAUGUAGUGUCUAAUUUGAGCGAUGAAAUGGAAGUUUAUGGCUCAUUCGACUUGGUUCCUUGCUUGCUGCUCAUUUUUUAUUAUCUUUACACUUAUUCAUAGUCUAGUUUUAGUUAAAUAUUGAGUAGUAGAGUGUUGUAACUAAUUUGGACUACUAUAUCCUCUGAAACUAUAUGGAUAUAAGGUUGUUAGUUGGAUGAAAGCUGUUUGGAUAGUUGAACGUUAUUUGAGUAGUUGGAUGUUUGGAAUAGUUGGUGGUUUUAAUUUGUUCACCAUGUGCUGUUGAAAUGUAGGAUUCAAAGUAGUGCAUUACAAGUCAAC
RNAcentral lists this long non-coding RNA (11700 nucleotides) under Nicotiana benthamiana. RNAcentral describes it as "long non-coding RNA (NBEN_LNC009974)". Lineage: Eukaryota; Viridiplantae; Streptophyta; Magnoliopsida; Solanales; Solanaceae. The record is from RNAcentral.